Molecule: ribosomal RNA, 2501 nt
Filed under: Listeria monocytogenes
Lineage: Bacteria; Bacillati; Bacillota; Bacilli; Caryophanales; Listeriaceae
Description: partial 23S ribosomal RNA
Rfam family: Bacterial large subunit ribosomal RNA
Source: RNAcentral
GUGAAAUUCCGUCGGAAUCCGGGAGGACCAUCUCCCAAGGCUAAAUACUCCCUAGUGACCGAUAGUGAACCAGUACCGUGAGGGAAAGGUGAAAAGCACCCCGGAAGGGGAGUGAAACAGUUCCUGAAACCGUGUGCCUACAAGUAGUUAGAGCCCGUUAAUGGGUGAUAGCGUGCCUUUUGUAGAAUGAACCGGCGAGUUACGAUUUGUUGCAAGGUUAAGCGGAAAAAGCGGAGCCGUAGCGAAAGCGAGUCUGAAUAGGGCGCAUAAGUAACAGGUCGUAGACCCGAAACCAGGUGAUCUACCCAUGUCCAGGAUGAAGGUAAGGUAAUACUUACUGGAGGUCCGAACCCACGCACGUUGAAAAGUGCGGGGAUGAGGUGUGGGUAGCGGAGAAAUUCCAAUCGAACUUGGAGAUAGCUGGUUCUCUCCGAAAUAGCUUUAGGGCUAGCCUCGAGGUAAAGAGUCAUGGAGGUAGAGCACUGUUUGGACUAGGGGCCCUUCUCGGGUUACCGAAUUCAGAUAAACUCCGAAUGCCAUGUACUUAUACUCGGGAGUCAGACUGCGAGUGAUAAGAUCCGUAGUCGAAAGGGAAACAGCCCAGACCACCAGUUAAGGUCCCCAAAUAUAUGUUAAGUGGAAAAGGAUGUGGGGUUGCUUAGACAACCAGGAUGUUGGCUUAGAAGCAGCCACCAUUGAAAGAGUGCGUAAUAGCUCACUGGUCGAGUGACCCCGCGCCGAAAAUGUACCGGGGCUAAACAUAUUACCGAAACUGUGGAUGAACCUCUUUAGAGGUUCGUGGUAGGAGAGCGUUCUAAGGGCGGUGAAGUCAGACCGGAAGGACUGGUGGAGCGCUUAGAAGUGAGAAUGCCGGUAUGAGUAGCGAAAGAAGGGUGAGAAUCCCUUCCACCGAAUAUCUAAGGUUUCCUGAGGAAGGCUCGUCCGCUCAGGGUUAGUCGGGACCUAAGCCGAGGCCGAUAGGCGUAGGCGAUGGACAACAGGUAGAGAUUCCUGUACCAGUGCUAAUUGUUUAACCGAUGGGGUGACACAGAAGGAUAGGGAAUCGCACGAAUGGAAAUGUGCGUCCAAGCAGUGAGUGUGAGAAGUAGGCAAAUCCGCUUCUCGCGAAGCAUGAGCUGUGAUGGGGAAGGAAAUUAAGUACGGAAGUUCCUGAUUUCACGCUGUCAAGAAAAGCCUCUAGGAAGAGUAGUACUGCCCGUACCGCAAACCGACACAGGUAGAUGAGGAGAGAAUCCUAAGGUGAGCGAGAGAACUCUCGUUAAGGAACUCGGCAAAAUGACCCCGUAACUUCGGGAGAAGGGGUGCUCUAUUAGGGUGCAAGCCCGAGAGAGCCGCAGUGAAUAGGCCCAGGCGACUGUUUAGCAAAAACACAGGUCUCUGCAAAACCGUAAGGUGACGUAUAGGGGCUGACGCCUGCCCGGUGCUGGAAGGUUAAGAGGAGUGCUUAGCUUCGGCGAAGGUACGAAUUGAAGCCCCAGUAAACGGCGGCCGUAACUAUAACGGUCCUAAGGUAGCGAAAUUCCUUGUCGGGUAAGUUCCGACCCGCACGAAAGGCGCAACGAUCUGGGCACUGUCUCAACGAGAGACUCGGUGAAAUUAUAGUACCUGUGAAGAUGCAGGUUACCCGCGACAGGACGGAAAGACCCCGUGGAGCUUUACUGCAACCUGAUAUGGAAUGUUUGUACCGCUUGUACAGGAUAGGUAGGAGCCGAAGAGACGUGUGCGCUAGCAUACGAGGAGGCAAUGGUGGGAUACUACCCUGGCUGUAUGACCAUUCUAACCCGCCACGCUUAGCGCGUGGGGAGACAGUGUCAGGUGGGCAGUUUGACUGGGGCGGUCGCCUCCUAAAGAGUAACGGAGGCGCCCAAAGGUUCCCUCAGAAUGGAUGGAAAUCAUUCGCAGAGUGUAAAGGCACAAGGGAGCUUGACUGCGAGACUGACAAGUCGAGCAGGGACGAAAGUCGGGCUUAGUGAUCCGGUGGUUCCGCAUGGAAGGGCCAUCGCUCAACGGAUAAAAGCUACCCCGGGGAUAACAGGCUUAUCUCCCCCAAGAGUCCACAUCGACGGGGAGGUUUGGCACCUCGAUGUCGGCUCGUCGCAUCCUGGGGCUGUAGUCGGUCCCAAGGGUUGGGCUGUUCGCCCAUUAAAGCGGCACGCGAGCUGGGUUCAGAACGUCGUGAGACAGUUCGGUCCCUAUCCGUCGCGGGCGCAGGAAAUUUGAGAGGAGCUGUCCUUAGUACGAGAGGACCGGGAUGGACACACCGCUGGUGUACCAGUUGUUCCGCCAGGAGCAUCGCUGGGUAGCUAUGUGUGGCAGGGAUAAACGCUGAAAGCAUCUAAGCGUGAAGCCCCCCUCAAGAUGAGAUUUCCCAUUUCUUCGGAAAGUAAGAUCCCUGAAAGAUGAUCAGGUAGAUAGGUUUGGAGUGGAAGUGUAGCGAUACAUGGAGCGGACAAAUACUAAUCGAUCGAGGACUUAACCAA